RNAcentral lists this ribosomal RNA (468 nucleotides) under uncultured bacterium. RNAcentral's name for it is "partial 16S ribosomal RNA". It matches the Rfam family "Bacterial small subunit ribosomal RNA", at positions 28 to 507 of the family's 1533-position model. The record is from RNAcentral.
GACGACCGCUGGCGGCGUGCUUAACACAUGCAAGUCGAACGGAAAGGCCCUGCUUUUGUGGGGUGCUCGAGUGGCGAACGGGUGAGUAGCACGUGAGUAACCUGCCCUUGACUUUGGGAUAACUUCAGGAAACUGGGGCUAAUACCGGAUAGGAGCUCCUGCUGCAUGGUGGGGGUUGGAAAGUUUCGGCGGUUGGGGAUGGACUCGCGGCUUAUCAGCUUGUUGGUGGGGUAGUGGCUUACCAAGGCUUUGACGGGUAGCCGGCCUGAGAGGGUGACCGGCCACAUUGGGACUGAGAUACGGCCCAGACUCCUACGGGAGGCAGCAGUGGGGAAUAUUGCACAAUGGGCGGAAGCCUGAUGCAGCAACGCCGCGUGCGGGAUGACGGCCUUCGGGUUGUAAACCGCUUUCGCCUGUGACGAAGCGUGAGUGACGGUAAUGGGUAAAGAAGCACCGGCUAACUACGUG